Molecule: transfer RNA, 73 nt
Filed under: Sydowia polyspora
Lineage: Eukaryota; Fungi; Ascomycota; Dothideomycetes; Dothideales; Dothioraceae
Description: tRNA-Asp
Source: RNAcentral
GAGUUAGUAACUUAAUUGGUAGAGAACUUUCUUGUCGAGAAAGAUGAUGCCGGAUCGAAGCCGGCCUAACUCG